GGCUUUUCGUCUUUUCUCUCUCGAUGACUCACGCACCCGCACGUCCUACAGGCACCCAUCGCCUGCUGCUGCAAGUGUCUGCGUACUGCGUUCCUCUUUGUUGUUCUCUUUCUCCUCUCUCCACCCGGUGACGCGGAGAGGGGACACACCUCCGUGAGCGGUACCGCAGGGGCCAGUACACCCCCUCCCCCCACUCUGCGUGGGGAAGCCAAGCAGCCUCUCCCUAUCCCCUGCCAAUGCCGAGCCACCUCUGGUGGUGACAGGGCCAAGUGCCUACGACGUGAGGGGGAGGCCAGAGUGGUUUGCCGCUACGGAUGCCGGCGGUCAGGCUGUGGACAUUGUUGCGCUGGAGAGGCCAGCGACGGUGCGCACGCUUCUGCCAUCCGUGUGAUGGGCGAAGUGUCAGCGCGACUCGUACGUAUCCCACCCCCGGGCCUCGCACUGCCCCACUGGUGUGGGGCGCCGGAGUGCGGGACCGCGAGGAGAUGCACUGGGUGGCGACCAGCACAAGGGUAGCUGCUGUGAGGCGACCUGCGAUGCGGGGAGGGGGGGCGAGUAGAGUUUUGCGUAGGGGCGGUGCUGGGAUGACGGAGUCGGCGCAUUGCUGUAACACGUGUGUCUAGCGCUGCCUCGCCCCACGCGGAUGGGGUUCGCGGCAGGCCCGGUGGGUAUAGCGGAGUUUGGAUUCAUGUUGUACGGCAGAGAAUGGUUGAGAAGUUGAGAAAAGCAAAAUCCCCCCUUUUUGGUUGAUUGCAUGUUGGUAGCGACCACACAGAUCAUUAAAGGAAGUGGAAAUGCAGAAUAUACUGCGGGGAGACGGCGGCGGGGACGACUGUCCCUCCAGUUAUAUAGACGCGAUGGCUCACCAUCUCGUGCGCGUAUGUCUGUUGAAUGUGUAUAUGCUCUACCCUUUUCUGGGCAUCAGCAGACUCUCUCACGUUCACACCUUCAUGCCCCCUUCCCCCAUAGUGAUGCAAGGCGUCUCCACCUCCUUCCCCGGGUCACGGGAUUCCUCUAUACUGCCUUCGCCGUUGCGGCGCUGUCGAUCCUUCUGUUACCUUCUCUGUCUCUUGGCGUGUGCGUCGCACGUGGCUGCAUUACAACAUCAACGUUCUGUUUCCGUUUCUUCUUUCGCAUUUGUGUGUGCUGCCGAAACACAUUCUCUCCUUAUUUGCCGCAUUCGUGUCCUUUCCUCUCCACCUUUCUUCCACCUUUGCAG
RNAcentral lists this unclassified non-coding RNA (1219 nucleotides) under Leishmania donovani. Its description in RNAcentral is "gene:unknown". The record is from RNAcentral. Lineage: Eukaryota; Euglenozoa; Kinetoplastea; Trypanosomatida; Trypanosomatidae.